UGGGGAAUCUUGCGCAAUGGGCGAAAGCCUGACGCAGCCAUGCCGCGUGAAUGAUGAAGGUCUUAGGAUUGUAAAAUUCUUUCAGCGGGGACGAUAAUGACGGUACCCGCAGAAGAAGCCCCGGCUAACUUCGUGCCAGCAGCCGCGGUAAUACGAAGGGGGCUAGCGUUGCUCAGAUUUACUGGGCGUAAAGGGCGCGUAGGCGGAUUGACAAGUUGGGGGUGAAAGCCCGGGGCUCAACCUCGGAAUUGCCUUCAAACCGUCAGUCUUGAGUUCGGGAGAGGUGAGUGGAACUCCGAGUGUAGAGGUGAAAUUCGUAGAUAUUCGGAAGAACACCAGUGGCGAAGGCGACUCACUGGCCCGAUACUGACGCUGAGGCGCGAAAGCGUGGGGAGCAAACAGGAUUAGAUACCCUGGUAGUCCACGCUGUAAACGAUGAGUGCUAGUUGUCGGCAGGCAUGCCUGUCGGUGACGCAGCUAACGCAUUAAGCACUCCGCCUGGGGGAGUACGGUCGCAAGAUUAAAACUCAAAUG
This 534-nucleotide ribosomal RNA is filed under the name uncultured bacterium. RNAcentral's name for it is "partial 16S ribosomal RNA". It matches the Rfam family "Bacterial small subunit ribosomal RNA", at positions 355 to 907 of the family's 1533-position model. The record is from RNAcentral.